UACUCCUACGGGAGGCAGCAGUGGGGAAUUUUGGACAAUGGGGGCAACCCUGAUCCAGCCAUGCCGCGUGAGUGAAGAAGGCCUUCGGGUUGUAAAGCUCUUUCGGCCGGGAAGAAAUCGCAUGGGUGAAUACCCUGUGUGGAUGACGGUACCGGAACAAGAAGCACCGGCUAACUACGUGCCAGCAGCCGCGGUAAU
This 198-nucleotide ribosomal RNA is filed under the name uncultured bacterium. RNAcentral's name for it is "partial 16S ribosomal RNA". It matches the Rfam family "Bacterial small subunit ribosomal RNA", at positions 334 to 524 of the family's 1533-position model. The record is from RNAcentral.